CCCUGCCUUGGCCAUAUUGCUUUUUCUCCUUUGUUUGUAGACAGCCCAGCAGAUCCUCCCAUAAAAAUAUUAUGGUUCUGGUCUGGUCUUGGUUUUCGGCUUUUUUACCUAACUCCUACUAUCCUAAAAUUCCCAUGGCUCUUUCAUCUAAAUGUUUCUUCUCAUCCUUGCUUUGUGUAGCUUUAAGAUAUAAACAGAGGACUCCAUAAAGACAGAUGAUUGAAUGACUCAGCUUGGGGCCAAGGUUACUAUUGGUGGUGCGUGCCUUGUGGCUCAGGUAAGAAGUUUGUCUGUCAGGGGGUUGGUUGGUUGGUUUUUGCAAUGCAACAGACUGAACCCAUAGCCUUCACACUGACCUACAUCCCCAACUUUUUUUUUCUUUCUUUUUUUUUUUAGACAAGAUCUCCCUAAAUCCUAAGUUGUCCAGAUGGUGCUCUAACUUGUGAUCCCCCUGCCUGGGCCUCCCAGAGUGCUGAGAUUAUAAACAUGCUUCACCAUGCUUAAACAUUCGCACCUUUCCAGGCAUACUGUCAAGCAUAUUAGAAAUAAAGCCUGAGACGCCAUGUUCAGGCUUAACUCACCAUCACGGAAACUGGAGCCUGCCACCCAAUCCUCAGCCUGGUAUCUGGGAUCUGAUUGCUUUGCAACCAACUUCCCUGUUGACACGGAAGCUCUGGUGGCAGAAGAAAGGCCAGUUUAAGAUGAAAGACAAAGCCAGGGAGCCCAGGGGACCCGCGAGCCUACAGAGGACACGGAAACCUUACUGGAAGAGCUGCUGGCCAGAGCGCAGGAGCAACUCACAUUUGAAUUCUCCCUGCUCAUUGGAGUAGCUGCCAGAACUCUCUCUUUUCCUCUCUUCCCAUCUUCGCAUGCAGUCACUACUCCACCUUUUGGCUCAGAUCAAUAUUUACCAC
This 914-nucleotide long non-coding RNA is filed under the name Fukomys damarensis (Damara mole-rat). RNAcentral describes it as "lncRNA (ENSFDAG00000026902.1)". Lineage: Eukaryota; Metazoa; Chordata; Mammalia; Rodentia; Bathyergidae. The record is from RNAcentral.